GAGGGGGAGGUGGAGAGUCAACAAGGAAAUAUUUCUUGAAAGAACAUUCUUACUGAGCUUAAGAUAUGAAAUGGAUUUCUUGAAGAGUUCUUAUCUGCUGAUGUCUGGAUUAUGGUCUUCGCCACAUCCAAGGGCAACACAGCACACCAAAACUGGAAUAAGGGUACCGAAAGAAUCACAAUUUGAAGAUACUACCGUAAUAAGAAUGUGAACAGGUGCAUUAUACAAGAGUGACAAACUGGGAAGAUGCAUACAGCUAUACCACUAAGGCCACCACUAAGAACCCCAACUCCCAAGUCAAUCAAGUUCUUGUGGCCUGAUGAAGCAGAGUUCAGUUGUAAAUGCAUCUGAUAGCGGACAUAUUCAUAUACGCUAAAAAAGACUGCAUUUCCAGUAGCUUCUCUUAACAAUGUUGUAAAACCUCCACGAAAAAUUCCUCUAACCUGAAAGAUUUUCCAUCAGCUAAGAGCAUUAUCACAAAUUAUGUCUGAAAAACAAGGUGCAGUAUUUCUUACCCCAUCCUCUUUUACAGUUUUAAUGGCACAAUCAAGAGGGCCGGCAUAUCUACUUGAUAUCGGUAUCAAAGAGUCUGUGCCUUGAACUUGCAUCCUACACUGGAAAAGGUCGGUGUAAUAAGCAUAAAAGGAGAAACAACUUUUCAAUAUAGAAACCGUCGAAGUCCUUUUACCUUCACUAGCUCUGAGGGGCAUAGAAUAAAACUGAUCACUGCUCCACCAGAAGCUGCAGAUGGAAUUAUGACAUGUGGUUGAGGCACAACACUUUGCACAUUUCCCUUCAAGUAUCAUUAAGAGUAAGCAGACUGUUGCACUAUAUAUAACAAAUGAUAUUCUUAAACAUUGAGAAUAAUCACUAAAGUAGUUGAUCCCAAACAUGUGGCUAACUAAGGCCAUUACAGAGAUCAUGGGCAAACAAUAACUGAAAAAUCUGUGUGCACUUCAUUUUCAUUUGUACCUGCAGCGACUGUUUCAUCUGGGAAUACAUGCCAAAAAGAAGCGAACUCUCAAAAGCUACCCCCACAAAAGAUGAUGUUGCCCCUCUGUAAAGUCCUUUUAUCUGUCAAUGACUCAAUUCUAGUCAGCACUCCUGGAUAAGAUGCAUGUGAUCUUCAAACACCACAACAAUUGACACCCUUUCGAAAAGCAAACAUGGGGCUACAUUGUCAUGUUAGAGAUAUAAAGCUCUGAUUCCUACACAAAGUUCAGGACCAUACAUACCCCUUCAGUCCUUAGUAUCCUCGCAGUACAAUGCAAGCCGUUCCGAUAUGUAAUCCCAUGGUCUACAGUGUUGUGCAUUUGCAUCUUCACCUAAUCAAGCAAGUGAAAAAACAAUGUUACACAGUUACACAUGGUACAAGUUCUUCAAGUUCAAACCAUUCUCAGUUCACAAAGCAAUCUAAUCAGCUGUUAGAAGUAAACAAUCUCCUACUGUCAUCGAUCAAAACCAGACAAUGACAAAAAGAUGCUCACAUUUAAAGCAAAGUGCUACUACAAUCAUCCUCACGUAAACCAAUCCAACACUUCCACAUCAAAAUUACGACUACCCAGAUUCGAAAGAACUAAACUUUAUCGACUACACACCAGAAAAUGAGAUAAAGAACCAAACCCAUGAAAGCAAACUUCACUAUCUUUCGAAACCUGAGUGAAAGUUGAGCAAAUUGAACAGUAAAGUUGUUACCUUGACGGUGUCAAAUGGAUGGCCGGUGCUGACAGUGGCAACGCCGGCGAGCAAUCCGGCCACGUAUUCCUUGUAGCCGGAGCUAUCCCGCAUCUUUGCUUCUGUGUUACUGGGCAAGUUUCAUGGUGGUCUCUGAAAUUGUGGUGAAAUAGCAAAGACCAUUAGGGAGAGGUCAGAGCCCAGAGGCCUAUUUUAGGUGUCAAAUUUGGUCUUGAUUAUAGUAAAGGUGCCCUCGUAAAAGUAGCACUAUGUUAUUGGAUUACAUGCCGACUCUCCCAAUUUGUGUUCAGUGUCAUAUUAUUUUGGCAUUGCUUUACCUCAUUUGGCUGCUUCUUUCAUGGUGUGCUAGAUUGUUACAAGGAUGCACUAGAUUGUUACAGGUUGUGAGAAAUUGUUGAUUGGAGCAAAUGGAAGAGUCGAAGGAAAUUAUUAGCUAUCGUAUGCCAAAAUAUGGGCGCAUGGGAAAGAUCCCUUUAGCAAAAUUAAGGGAAAAAGAAAAAAUAUAUAGUUAUUUGGGACAGACUACAGAGUAGCAUUAUUCACCCAUGCACAAUGCUUUCCCGUAAAGUUACAGAACAAGAGAAAAUUAUACUGCUAACUAUGGAUAUAUCAGCCAAUUUCUGGAGUAUGUGAAGCAGAGCUAUGAAAUCUAUCUAAUCUCGGUAUUUCUAGGAAAUUGCAGCAAGCCUGUUGGUCAUAACUUGCUAGGAACAAUGUCAUUCAAUAUUCUUCCAGCUCUAUGAAGCUGUGUUGGCUUUGCAAACACAUCUUGUCUUUCAGCUAAAAAUUUUGCAAAGCGAGAACCUUUCCCUUCUUUGUCGCGAUCAUUUGGUAAUGACUCUUGCAUAUGAGGCAAAGGAGGGGGCUUUGGAGACAGAUGCGGCAUCAAUGCCCAUACAGAAGAAAGAUGUUCGUUUGGUUGGUCGAGAACCUGAAGAAGUGAAAGAUCUUGCAUGUCUGGGGAAAAAACCAAAGCUGUCAGAUCGAAAUAAUACAAUGUCGCAGUGAAUGUUUGUAUUACUUUAAGGAAAAAUCAUCCAGAUAAAAACCUAAUUAAGCUAACAAAACUUUUAUAGCUAAAUAACCUUUUGAAAACUUGAAAAUUAGCAGGAGAGCUGCACAUGGAAUGCUGAAGUUCAGAUGUGGUAUAACUGUUCCUCCACCAUGUCUAGCAUUGCUGUGACAAGAACAUACCUCAUUAAAUACAGAACUUCUAUCCAUAACGAGUGAGCAAUAUAAAUUUAAUGAAGGAACCCAGUGGCGUAGCCAGAAACUACCACUAGAAGGGUCAAAGUAUAAACAAGAAUAUUAAACGAAUCGAAUAAUCUAAUUGAAUAACAUAAAAAUGUAUGAAUUAUUACAUAAAUACUUAAAAAAGACAAAGUAACAAAUCUCCCUAAAAUAAUUAUGAUUAGCCACGAUGAUUCAUAUUUUGAAAUCUUUUCGUGAUGAUUUCAUUAUCAACACCAUCAAAUAUGUAUUUUUUUUUAUAUAAUAUCUCUUGAGAAAAGCUUUCAUAUUUUAAGUGAUAAAUUAUGAAGGUUUUGACUAAAGAAAUUACGGUAGAGAAAUUUAGAGAGAAUGAUAAGAGACAAACAAAUUGUAGAAGCUUGAAUAUAUAUAUAGACGUAAAUAUAUCAUGAAUUGAUUAGGAUUGUACAUUGUGUGAUUAGCAAAUCUAUCCAAAUUAGGACAGCAGAAAACUUGUCUACUAUAUUAAUUGGCAAUAUAUUUUCAAAAAUAAAAUAAUAUAGGGAUAAAAGCUUUUUUAACGUCUCAAGACAAGAUAUAUAUUUAAAAGAUUAAAAAAACAUGGGAAUAGAAGUUUUUUUACGUAUGGAUGAGGGGUGUCAGAAAGAGGCAAGUUUUGGUCGACAGUAUAUUUCCCCAGCCACUAAGAACUCAACUUGAAAUGUGAGAGGGUUCAAUUGAACCCCCUCGCCCCAUAGUGGCUACGCCACUAAAGGAACCAUAGAUCUGAUUUGAUGAAAAUGAUGCAAAAAAGCAGUUCAACAAUAUCAUCACGCAGAACAGGAUUUCACCAAACAUUAGCAUAAUCAUACCAAACAUGGGGGAACUUUGGACCAAGGCAACAACAGACUCGGUUUUUAUUUAUUUAUUUCUUUAUUUAUUAUUAUUUAUUUAUUUUUGUAAAAGGGUCUUGGAACCAGCCUAGCUGGAUCAACAAUGACAAGAGACUUGUAUCAGUUCUAGUGAGAAAUCAAAAUUUUUCAAUGGCAGCUUCUUGGUACGACUUUUUUUGGAAGUUCACCAUCAUAAAGAGGCAUUGCAAACUUAGAUAUUUGGCAUACCUUGUAACAAGCCCAAUCAUAUGACCAUCUGAAUUUACAACAGCACCACCACUACCACCUGGAUGGACAGCUGCUGUUGUUUCCAGCAUCACAGGAGAAUUCCCCAGAGUAUGUCCUGGUUGACUGGGUUGAUGUGAGGGUAGAAACUUUGAUUUGACAACUUUUGCCACCACACCAGCACAUAUUGAUGGGGAAAAGCCUAAUGCAGUACAACCCAAACAGAAUAUGAAACAUGAGGAAUUUUACCAAAGAAAAUACAUAAUAAAGCGAAUAUUUCAGAACUAUAUUGCAUCUUUUACUACUGGUAACGCAGUAGUGUCAGAAAAACCUCAAACUUAAGAGCAUCAAAUCUACUCAAAGAUUUAACUGGACAAUGCAUCUGACAUCGAAGUUUUCUAAUUCAGUUUUAAAAAUGUCAUGCUACUUACACUUGUAUCACUCAAUUUUCCACAAUAAUAAUAUAUGUAAGGAUAAUUAAGCAAGGCUCACCACAUCUGGGUCCAAACAGUCCAUGUCCAAUAACGUAUGCCUUUGAUCCUAAAGAUGGAGAUGAAAAGUCCAUGACAACUGGAGAAAGUUGAUCUGGGAUGUAUUUGAUCUGUAACAAGGCAACAUCUAAAGGUCCUUUACAAACAUAUACUACUUUGGCGUCACACCAAAUCCAAGGGUCCGUAUGAUCCAGGCGGACACGUAUAUUUCUAUGGCCUUUGUAAGAUGAGUUCCGUGCUCCAUGUUCAUUGCCAACUGAGGGAUAUCCAUUCUUGUGAAGCCCUGGCAGAAAGCCUUCAAUCUUCUGCUCACCAUCAACUCCAUUACACCCUGGAGAUGCCGAUCCGUUAGAUAGGACGGGAGGAGCAUCAGCAAUGUAUCCAUCAGUCACAGUCCUUUUACCAAAUCUCCAUGGUUCUAUGAGGUGAGCAUUUGUGAGUAUCAGGCCUUGCUUGUUGAGGAAAACACCAGAUGCCCAUACUCCAUCAUCUAUGGUUAUAAGACAAACAGAAGCUAUAGCCUUCUCAACAGCUGAAGUGGAGCAACUAGUAGAAAGAUGCUCCUGAAUAUGCGUUAUGGGUCCAUUUGAGCCGUCGGUGUCUGCUAAAAAUGCUUUCCCUACAGCAUUUAAGUUUCCCUUGUCAUAAUAAAUCCCUUUUUCUGCAUAAUGAGGCUCCUUCUGCAGCAAGUCACUGCAAGCAGUUGCAAUGGCUUCCCACGAAAUUACCAGCUGUUACCCAAGACUAAAGCUUUGGAUGACAAGUUAACUAGAAAAAUUUAAAAGACGAUACCAUGUCAAAUAGGAAAUGUUCUAAAGUUACCUGAACUUCAGCACCACUAGUCUUCUGCCUCAAUGGUCUAAUCAACAUACCAAUAAGUUGUGCAUUCUCGCUCAAAACUGGACCACCUUCCGCUCCUGAUAGGAUCAGAAUUGAUAGGGAAUCAGAGACCAGUGGCAUGAAAAGAACAAUGGAAACUCUUAGAAGUAAUGUUCGCACCAGGAAGACACCGUAUGUCGGCCAUCAGCAAUGGAGUAAUAGACGAAUUAGGAGGAUAGCAGUUGGCGAUGGACCCCACUGAUAUGCUGAAAUAGGAAGCUAGUAUUUAGAUGGAGCAUCAAUAGGAAUUUUACUUCAAAGCACAAUCAGAAAGAAAGCAUAAAUCAUAUCAACCCAACCGGUAGCCAUAAUAUGUACUUGGACAGGAAGAUAAGUCACCUGUUAAAGAAGUGCACAGGUGACAGGAUACCAAAAGGAGAACCCACUGCUACAAGAAAGUCUCCCCUUUUAUUGGAGGGCGAUAUGGUUAUAUUUGGCACAUCCUGAACAGAAAUAUAUUACCAAUCAGUUUCAGGUAUAUUAUUCAAUAUCUUUGAGUUCUGGGAUAUCAAAAUAUUGGAUGCUAAAAUGAAGGGUGAGAGCAUAAAUUUACCUUAGGAAACAAGGAUACUACAAGAAUUGCGAUUCUUGUAACUGACUUUCCUGUACCACUUGCGUUCCCCAAUUCUCUAGCAGCAAAAUUUACCUGGGUAUGCAAGAAAAACUAUAAUUUCACAAAAUAUUUCCUUUAAACUACAAGAUAUUGAAAGGAUCUAUAUCAUGUUAACUUUCAAAAUUCCCCUAAACCAAACACAAAAGAUUGCUGCUCCAUUCGUGAACUUUUCUAUAGGGUUUUCAAUUGCUUGAUUUCCGGUCAUAGGUCAUAUCUAAAAUAUAUAUGCCCAUGACGAGAACUUUUAAAUGAAUUACAAAAAAAAAACAUCUAGUACCUGUGUCUGAAUAACAUCUGUAACUGGCUGAGGAUUAUUAUGUGAGGCUAAAGACCAACCAACCUCCCAUCCAUGCUCUGGGGAGCUUAUAGAAGCAUCAAUAAGAGAUUGGAGUGCAACAGCAGAUGCAGGAAUGUCAAUCUGUACAGGGCAGCAGUUAAAUCAACAUAGGAAACCAUGUGUAAUGUAUCGUGUGCCCAAAAAAAAAACUGUACUCUACUGUCAAGCGAUGACAAGAAACUUAUAUCAAUGAUGCUAUAUAUCGUCAAUAACCAACUGUUGAGAUUGGCAGUGAGACUGCAGAAUUCUCUCACAUCAGUCAUAAAGUUGUGGCUGUGUAUCAAAGAACAUUAUUGUGACAAGUUCUACUUUUCCAUUACAAAGUAACUGUAUCACUGACCCUCAAAAGUUGCCCACUCACGGUCAUGAUACGCGCACAACAUAUACACAAACAAACUAUAGUCAUGUAAGGCACAAUUAACUUAUAGUUAACUUAUAGUUGCCAUUGAACCAAGCUUUUUCUCUAGCUACUCUACACUGAAAUGGAUUCUAAUGUUCAGUAACAGCCAACCCAACAAUCGAGUAACAAAUUACCUACCAGGGUUAAAAGCUGCGCUGCAAACCAGCAUGGAGGUCCUUUCUCCGAGCCUUUCUCCAACAUCGGUUCAUCCUGCAAACGAAAGCACCCCUCAUAUAUAGUCAAACACUAAACCUCACUAAAACACCUUCAUUUCAAACUUCAAACAAAUCAAACAAUACAGGGUAUUGUGCUACACAGCUAUACCUCUGCCAUGACAUCAAUCUCAACCCCAGCAAUCAACUCAGGCCUGCCCUGCAAGGCACCAAUCAAGCAUAACCAAACUUAUCAAACACCAACACCAAUACAUAAUCAAACAAUUAAUCAACAUUACAUCACAACAAUCUCAACCUGGGCAAGGUUCUCCCUGUGCUGCAAAGACAGAAAGGGCUCAACAACCGAAGCAACAGUCACAACCAGAGCCGGUGACCGGUCACUCCCGCCGCCGGAAAGCUGCUUCGCCGCCUCACCGUCGUAAAGGGUUCCAGGCAACAACAUCCCGGAAGCUGAUAUAGUCGUCGUCCCAGAGCUACACACAAAAUGAUGAGUACAUCAAAAUCCAAAACUAGGGUUAGGUUUAAUUGCUCGUAGAGAAAUUGGGGGCUUACUUGUACUGGUGGAAAGCAUGGUUUCGCAUCUUGAGGCCUUUGGGGUCCUAAAUUGAAAAGGGCUUACGUAAUCAGUGAGCUGCUGAGGUCUGAGAGAAUUUAAAUUUUUCAGAGAAGGAUGAAGAGGACUACUUACAGGGCCUUUGACUCUGACCAUGACGGAGAAAUUCCGAGCGAAAUCGACGAUUUCCGGUAAGCCCAUGGUGGGUCUGAGGGUCCGAUUCCCAAGACGAAGAGAAGCUCAGAUUAACAGUCUCAGUGGUUUAUAUAUAGGUUUGAGGGAGAUGAGAAAAAACAAGGAAGACGAUUCUAUUUUACCGUUUACCCAUUGGUUAAAAAGUAGUUUUUGGAUUGUAGUUUGGAUCUGUUACCUAAUUGGGGUUAGUUUAAGUUAAUCUAAGUGGCUGUUAGUUACCCAUGCAGGACUUACCAUAGAUGAUUGCUUGACGGGUUAACCCUUGUUGCUCAUAAACCUUCACUGAAUCAACUACGGUUAACACCCAAUUGAGAUGAACAUCCAUCAUUUGGAACAUGUAUUUUGUGUUAGAGGAAUUGCAGUUUGUGGUGCAUGUACGAUACGUUUAACUGAUAUAUUAAAUUUAUAAAAGCAAUUAUUGAAAAUUUAUUAAAUUUAUCAGUUAUAGAAAAGACCGACACGAAUGCAACGUCACAUAUACAUCACUAGCCUAUUAUCUAUUUGUGUUUCUAAUUGUUUUACACAAAACCAUUAGCGGAAAACUUUGUAUUAGCCUUGUUUUGCAGAAAUUUGUUUGGCAAAUCUAUCUGCCUUAUCUUAAGAGACAUUUUUUUACGCGUGUUAGGCAUAUUACGUUGUUUGCGCUCGUAAACAAUAAGUUUCUAGCUAGAUGUUUCUUAUGUAUGUUGAUUAAGGCAACACAAAAACGUAAUAAAAUGCCUUAUAUAAGAUUUUAUUUUGAGAUAUUAUAUACUAGGAGUACAGUUCAAAAGUAUUAGAAUUUAGAACCAAAUAGGCGACACACUAACUUUGAUUAGAUCUUUCCAAUACGAAUGACUCACCACUCUCAUUUUCUAUUUUCCAAUUUUAUUUUAUGAAUGAUAUCUCAUCCUAAGUGAAUAAUAGAUUGCACAUCCUAAAUUCUCAAAAAGGGAUCGCUUACAAACUACUUCAUUCUUCUCAUUUUCACAUCGUCAAUAUUGAUUCAUGCAUUUACAAGCACGAAAGACUAUUGACUCGCAACGGCUUUCAACAAGUAAUGUAUUUUCCUUUUUCCAUCUUAACUAAAUAUUAAACCAUUAAAAAAAAGAAAAAAUACCAAAUAUAUUAUCAAUCCACAGUAACUUAUACUGCUUAAUAACUCUUCACACAAGAAAACCACGGUAAAAUGGUAACAUGGUGAGUGAGAAAUCAUUUCAAGAAAUAACCAAAGUAUAUUAUCCAGGGUUAGUUCGGUAACUAACGUAGCUUUAACUCUCUUUAAAACGUAAAUCCCUCUCAUCAAAGCAAAUAUCCCAAGCAGAAUUAGUCACUGAAUUUACCAAAACAACCCCACAGCACGAAUCGUCUGCCUAUAUAUUUCUCCCCCUUCAGAGUCAAUAUUUAUAAAAUAAAAAAUAAAAAAAUUCGAAGAGAGAGAGAGAGCCUCUCUUCUUCUUCUUCUUCUCUCUACCCCUCCGCCUCUUCUCUUCUCUCUCAGACCACCACCGCAACCGCAACCACCGCCACCUCACUCUCUCUCUUUCUCUCUCCUCAGCUCUCGCAAUAGAGGACACGCGGCGGGCGCUCAUUCGCGGCUGGAUUUCCAGAGCAAUGCCGGCGCAGAAGCGUGGCUUCGAGGAGGCCGUCGAGGACGGUGAUGAUCCUGCUGCGAAACUCCACGAGAACGGCCACGAGGAGCCGCCGGAAGAAGAAGGUACGUGCUAUUUUACUAUAAUACCCUCGCUCCGAACUAAAUUUCCCCCCAACCACCGCAGCACACACACCACGUUCUCGUUUCUUCCUAUUCCUCCCUGAUUCUCUUUCUCUCUCUCACACUGCGACGUCGUUUUGGUUUUUCACUCAGAGUCCGAUCGGAGCCGGAGCCCGGAGCCGAGUGAGGACGAGAAGGACGACGAGAAAGACGAGUAAGCUUUUCGUAUUUUUGGCUUUCUGUUUUGGCUUUUCGUUUUUUCGUUUCGUCGUUGCACACCAGGUGUUGUUUGAUGCUUUGAAAACGCUGCCGUUUUGAUCUGCGUGGUUUUUGCUUGGCUUUGUAAUCGAGCGGCUCACCGGAGCUGUGUGGUGACGUGUGUGUACGCGGCUGAGUGAACUGGAAUCGUUGGCGUUGUGGAGAAGGAAGAAGAAGAGUGGUGGAGUUGGGAUUUGGGGUUUGCGAGCUGAGAUUGUUGCUGCGGUGAUGUAAUUCAAGGCUCGAUUUCGCCAUGCGUGCAUGGUUUGUUCGAGGCUCAAAGCAUGUUGCGUUCUGUGGCCGCUACAGAGACGCGUCCUCGUUUUCGGAGUUUCUGCUUGAAUUUGCGUUUGUUGCUGAAGCAAGUGGUGGGUUUAUAGCGAAGAAAUUGUCACCGACUACAUUGCUGGUGUUUAGCUAGUGAGUUUCUGGGUGCUGGUGUUUAGCUAGUGAGUUUUGGUUUGCUCAAGAUUUGAGAAAUCACGGUGGUCCGGUGAAAAGACCCAUCCAUCGGGGACAAAGAUGGAAUUUACAGUUGGUUCUACUCAGCUUGAAAGCUUUGUAGUUGUUCUGGGUUACCAUUAUGGUGCUACACGUUUUGCACGAUAAAAAUUCUGCUAGUUCACUCGUUUCAUGUGCUUUGCGAGAUUAAAUUAAACGAAGCGGCAUGCAAUGAUAUUGUCAUUUCUGGGUUUGAUAGUACUCCAAUAUGCAUGCUGAAUUGGGCGUGCUUGCGAAAUGCAACGGCUUAUGGUUGGGGUGGUACAAUAUGGAUGUACAGUAUGGUACACUGAUUAAAAAUUGAAAAGUCUCAUGGAAGUAGGCUUGUGAUUGAAAUCAAUGGUUUGAGCUGGCUAUUAAUUAUUUCCUUUUUCUGAUCUUGAGGUGGCGUAGAUUUUUUAUUUAAAAGAGGUUCUUAUGAAUUCUCUUUGUGCAUCAAACGUGAACUUCAAAUCUAUUUCAUUUUUAAUUUACCAGUAUUUAAAAACGUUAGUUAAGCAUUCAAAAAAAAAAANNNNNNNNNNNNNNNNNNNNAAAAAAGAAAAAAGAAAAAAAGAAAAGAAAAGGUAUUUGUCAUUGGCUACCAGCAUAAAAAUGAAAGUCAUUGAUAUAAGAAGGUUGAUAUUUUACAUUAUAGAGCAUCAUGAGGUGUUGCAUGCUUUUGUGGUUAGCUGUAUUGUAUGCUUUUGUGAUUAUGAACUGAUACACUUAGAAAUUUGAUGCAAGCCAUGAAGUCGUUAUUAUAUUUUGUUUUCAAUUUGCUAUAUGCUUUGACUGAAUUACUCUGUUUAAAUGCAGAGUCAGCUUUCAUAAUGAAAGCUCAUAACUUGUUAUAUUCACCUUUAUAUAAACUCAGCUCAGCUGCACAAACAGUUGACUGAGAAGAUUUAACAGCAGAAGUAAUUUCAUUAAAAAAAAAGGACUUCAUAUCGACUGAUCACGUCAGUUUAUUUAUAAGAAGCCUUAGAGCUUUUAUAUCCUUUCUUUUCUAUAACUGCUUACGGUAAAGAUUUGGAGCCUCUUUGACGGGUUGAUUCACUGAUUCUCUUGUUUCUGUGACUGUUGGGUGUUUGCACAUUUCUCACAUUUGUCUGUUCCGUAUACAUGUAUUACCUUAAGUCCUUCUCCAUGGGUAUCUUCAAUCUAGACCCAUGCUGAGGUGGUAUAAAUCGAUGUUUCAUAUCCAUGUAGAUUCAUGUUAAGAGAAUCAGUGAUAUAGAGCUUUGGUAUUCAAAAAUGCUUGACAUUAGAGUUUUCGUUUAAUAGUUUGCUUAUUAAAUGUGAUUAUGUAAACUCAUCUGUCCCUUUUACACCCAUGUGUUAUGGUAAUCGCCCUCCCAUAUGGUAUAGUUAAUAGUGAAGUGUGGGUGCAGGUUCGACUUUUAUUUGCUGUAGCCAUGUCUACAUAGUUUUCUUAUUAUUUGCUGCAAUAAGUACUUUUGUGCCAUACCUUCCCCCUACCUCUCUUAAAAUUAUUAUAAUUAGAAAAGUCAUUGACCCUUUUGUUUGUGUAGGGAUCAUUAGGAAAACAAGAACAGUGAUGGAAUGCCUGCACCGCUUCUGCAGGGAAUGCAUUGACAAGUCCAUGCGGCUUGGGUAUGUUAAUAUUUUUGUUUAAAAAAUAUGCCAGAAAUUUCAGCUGUCAAUAUCUCGUUCCCAUAGCUAGACUGUAUUAUCUCUUUCUGCAGGAACAAUGAAUGCCCUGCAUGCCGCACACAUUGUGCGAGUCGUCGCUCUUUGAGAGAUGACCCAAAGUAUGAUGCCUUAAUUGCAGCUAUAUAUCCAGAUAUUGACAAGUAUGAGGAAGAGGUACUAUGAUGUUGAUCUACUACAUCUGGGCUGUACAUUUUGUUUCUAAGCUACAUUUAAAAUGGCAGCACUGACUGUUUAACAUCUUAUGUAGGAAUUAGCUUUUCAUGAAGAAGAGAAGGCUCGCAAUAAGCAGGUGAAAGAUUUCAAGUGUUUGCUAUGCUUGCAAUGUUUUGCGAUUCUUACUGCCAAAUAAACCUUCUUUUUUUUUAAAAAAAAAAAAAAAAGAUAAAAGAAGCUGUUCUAUAUUUCUUGUGAAACUGAUGACAUUGAAAUUCAUUAUAUUUUUGUCUGUUGCCUUUUUUAAAAGGUAUUCUAGUGUUAUACUUCUUCCUCAUUCAGGUAUUAGGGUUCACCAAAUCUGCAUAUACACUUCUUUCUGUUUCCAUUUUGUUGCUUUAGGGCCUUGAUCAAAAUUUUAUUUAAACAGAUCCAAGCUUCCAUUGCCCAGACAUUUCGACGACAAUCCGAAGCACUUGGUAGGAAGCGAACUACAGCAAAAGCCACUGCCGCUGCAUUUAUGAGGAAAUCCCAAGGUAACUACAAAAAUUUGAGGCGGAGAAGGAAUAAUAAAAAUGCUGUUGAAAUUCAAGGAUCUGAUGAUAAUGAGGAGGCAAAUGGUAAUGAUGGAGGGAAAGAUUCAUCUUCUGAUGAGCGCACAGAACCAAGACCAAAAAGACCCAAAAGAUGGACAGGAGCUCGAUAUUAUCAGCGUUCACCAGCAACUGCGAAUGCAGAUGGUGAUUAUGAAAAUGAUUAUGAGGUAAAUAGAGAAGUUAUGGGUUCAUCUGUGGGGUUUGUUGGCAGUCCAGAAAGGCUUGCAUGGGGUAAAGGUGGCUUGCGUAGUCAUACAAGAUAUGGAAGUUCUAGUGGUGCCAAUGGUAAGAAUGCCAGGAGCCGCAUUUCUAAGUUGGUGGAUUAUCUCCGCAACUUGGAAGCUAAUGAUAAAGGGGUAAGUUUGAGUUUAGGCUGCAACAGUCUACUAUGAGUUUCCUUUUGACAUCUGAAAAUGGCAGACGGAAUUGACUGUCUGAAAUCCCAUAUUCUAUAUUACCAAAGACUAAUUUUAUUUUUUAAAUAGAUAUUUUAAGUUUUUGACACAAACUGCUCAGGUUAUGAGGCCAUUCUUCUGACACAAACUAUAUAUGAGUGUGUUUUUCAAAAAUUAUGCGGCAUUCUGCAUCUUAAUAGACAAUUGGAUCAAUGAUUUCACAUAGGUUUUUUUUUUUUUUUUUUGUCUUCAAAAUAUCAGUUGGAUAUCCACCUCCUACUGGUUUCUUUUGAUGAACAAAGAAUACCUAGUUUGCAGAGGCGGUAUCUUUGCUGCAGGCCCACCCUGUCAGUUGGACAACUAUGUCAGGUAACACCACCAAUCUUUCACUAACUGUGUUUUCAAUUGAUACCGUUUUUAAUUCUGCUAAGCCUCUAAUAUCUUACAGUAUGUUGCUGAGCAAACUGCACUGCAACCUGAUGAAGUGGAAAUAUACUUAAUAAAGGAAGUACAAGCCAAAGUUAGCCCAUCAGACCCUACAGAUGCUCUGGUUUCUACUUCUGGUGUUUUAGAUUCAAGCAAUAACACACUUCUUCUGUUAAGAGACGAUGAAUCAUUGGCAGAAGUUCAAGCGCGUCAUCUCACUCGUGGCCAUCUGGUGAGCACCUUUAUCUUCACUUUAGGAGGUUUGGACUUCAGGUUUUCAUAACUUCUAGAUCUGAUACUUGUCUUUAUGAUCAUGUUCUUCACUUUACCUCCCUUUUUCCAAUUCAUCAGUAAUCCCUUUUUCCAAUUCGCGCCCACACACUCACAUGUAUAUGUAUAUUCACACAACUACAUUCAACCUAGGUUGAUGAUCCCUUAAUGUGUGUCAUUCUGCAGCUUUUGGCAUAUCAGAAGAAGUGGAACUUAAACCGUGGCUGAAGACAAGUUUCUGGUAGCAAAUCUAUUUUAAUUUUUGACUAGAUAUAUAUAUAGCAAGCAUUAGGCAAUGGAGAGCCAUCAGGUCAGUCUUUGGAGCUCCCCAAGUACUCUUAGAACGGGCAACUUAGAAGCAGACAUCUUCUAAGCUUAUUACAACUGUUAAUUGUGUUAUAGGUUAUAAGUACCCGGGUCAGUUGUGAAAUUAAUCUAUUUAAUCUUAUGGCUGCCUUGUUUGACUAUCCCUUUUUGGCACUUUGCACCCAAGGCUCUACAAAAUCUCUCAUGGCAUCAUCCAAUGUUACCUAUUCACGUCGCAUAGAUUAAAUGUGUAUAAUCAAAAUUCACAAAUUACGGAUAUUAAAAAACUAAUCAUAUCUCAAUCCAGUAUAGAUUAGUUACAUCAUCAAUAAGACUUUGGCACUUCAUUUCAAGUUUCAGCUAUAAUUGCCCUAUAUUAUUAUGCUCGAAAAUUCUUGUACACACUGCAGUCAAUAGUGCAGUGAGGUGUAAAUGAACCGAACAUCUAAUAUGCAAGCUUAACAUUUUGUUUGAUCCUAUUCACGUGAUUAUGUAUAUAUGAAAACGCCGUCAACAACAUUACAAACUCAAAAAACUAGUGUAAGUGUUAUAAACACGGGACGUGAAAAUCCGAGAUCGAAGAAAUUAUGAGCGCUUAAUCUAAACGGAUCAAAAAUGAAAAAACUAUAGGAAAAAAUUGAGAGUUUCCCAUCCUCAUUCUAACUUUGCACCUCUAACUAGAUGACUUAAACGAUGCUACAAGUGUAUUUUGUAUUUUGAUACGUAAAAUUCGCUCUCAAUUAUGCAUAGUUUUAAAAGUCCAAGUUCCCAACCCAUUAUUGAUUAUGAUUAGAAUAAUGUAAUCGUCUCUUUCACAGUGUGGUCCCACUCACCAACUGCCACGUGGGUUGCGAAUCGAACCUUAUCCAUUCAAAUGCGGGUCCUGAUAUGGAUCCCCUUUGGAUCAGCUACUUUGUCUUAACAUGAUAAUAAUUGCAAUAGAUAAGGUUAACUUAAACCCACUUACUAAUCAGAUCGUUAGUAAACUACUCAAAUGAACAUGGAAUGAUACAAAAAGACAUUAUUUUAUUGAAUAACGAAGUUACUAGAGCAGAUUAUCACCCUAAACCACGGUAAAUCUGGCUUUUACACAAGACCAAUCAACCAUAUAUCAUAUAUGGCAAGGUAAAAGUAGUGUAGUAGCUAGCUCAACUACAACAACAUACUCUUCAUUAGGCACUGAGCUUAAGUGCUUUAACACAAAACCAAAGCCUGUUUAGAUAGUUGGAAAUGAAAAACGACGAACCCUAUUCACAAAACUCCACCGAAACCAACAACGUGGCAUACACUGAAAUGAAAAACGACACUAUUUACAUGCAACCCUCGAUAGAUCCUCAUCACUUGUCGCUAGCUUGUCACCUUAACGAUGAUGCUUGCUCCUCGUCUCUCCACUGUACAUCCUGUAAUGAUCAAAUAAGAAAUCCGAUCAGUAAGCCAAAACCUACAACGUUGGAUCAAAAUAUGGUACACAUCUGAACCCAACAGCCAGAUCAAAGGCGUUGAACACCAGAUCGAUCAAGAUCUUCAACCAUAAACUAGUGCAUAGAUCUACAUGUUAGUUUGCAUGGAUGGAACUAUGGAAGUGAUCGACCGUGAUACGUACCAGUCAUAGACAGUGGGAGAGUUUGGCUGUGGGCUAUCAAACACCUGGUUUCCCAUCGUCUUGCUAGACAGGUUGCUACCUGGGUGGAACACACUCCUCCAUACGUUGUCCUUGCGCGCCGAUAUCGGCGUUGUUGGGGUCACCGGCGUCGUCGGCGUCGUUGGCGUCGUCGGCAUCGUGAUCUUGCUCGACUCUCCCUCAUCUACACCACCACGCAUCAGAUAUAAUUAAUCAUCAAAACCCAGCCACAAAGCAAAUCAACGAUCGACUUUAAGAAUAUGAAGCACACACUAACCUUUGAGGUUCAAGGGCUGAGGGACCUUCCUGAGCAUGCCGAGACCACGUUCAGGCUGAGGUCCAGCUACUAUGUCAUCCCAAAGCUUGUCUAGCAGAACCAUCUUUGCUCUGAACUCUUUCUUUCUUUCUCGAUCUCUUCCUUUUUAGUGU
RNAcentral lists this long non-coding RNA (15949 nucleotides) under Fragaria vesca (wild strawberry). RNAcentral's name for it is "long non-coding RNA (FVES_LNC001217)". The record is from RNAcentral. Lineage: Eukaryota; Viridiplantae; Streptophyta; Magnoliopsida; Rosales; Rosaceae.